CAGUAGCCGCGGGAAUACGUAGGGUGCAAGCGUUAAUCGGAAUUACUGGGCGUAAAGCGUGCGCAGGCGGUUAUAUAAGACAGAUGUGAAAUCCCCGGGCUCAACCUGGGAACUGCAUUUGUGACUGUAUAGCUAGAGUACGGCAGAGGGGGAUGGAAUUCCUCGUGUAGCAGUGAAAUGCGUAGAUAUGCGGAGGAACACCGAUGGCGAAGGCAAUCCCCUGGGCCUGUACUGACGCUCAUGCACGAAAGCGUGGGGAGCAAACAGGAUUAGAUACCCGCGUAGUCCCUGUCUCUUAUAC
RNAcentral lists this ribosomal RNA (301 nucleotides) under uncultured bacterium. RNAcentral's name for it is "partial 16S ribosomal RNA". It matches the Rfam family "Bacterial small subunit ribosomal RNA", at positions 509 to 807 of the family's 1533-position model. The record is from RNAcentral.